This 314-nucleotide unclassified non-coding RNA is filed under the name uncultured Thelephoraceae. Its description in RNAcentral is "sequence contains ITS2". The record is from RNAcentral. Lineage: Eukaryota; Fungi; Basidiomycota; Agaricomycetes; Thelephorales; Thelephoraceae.
AACGCACCUUGCGCCCUUUGGCCAUUCCGAAGGGCAUGCCUGUUUGAGUAUCGUGAACACCUCAACUCUCAUGGCUUGCCACGAUGAGCUUGGACUUUGGGGGUCUUGUCGGCGUGCCGUCGGCUCCUCUCAAAUGGAUCAGCUUGCCAGUGUUUGGUGGCGUCACAGGUGUGAUAACUAUCUACGCUUGUGGUUUCCUACCAGAUAACCUCCAGCGAUGGAGGUUCGCUGGGGCUCAUAAAUGUCUCUCCUCAGUGAGGACAGCCCUUUGAACGUUUGAUCUCAAAUCAGGUAGGACUACCCGCUGAACUUAA